GAUGAACGCUGGCGGCGUGCCUAAUACAUGCAAGUCGAGCGAACAGAUAAGGAGCUUGCUCCUUUGACGUUAGCGGCGGACGGGUGAGUAACACGUGGGUAACCUACCUAUAAGACUGGGAUAACUUCGGGAAACCGGAGCUAAUACCGGAUAACAUUUGGAACCGCAUGGUUCUAAAGUGAAAGAUGGUUUUGCUAUCACUUAUAGAUGGACCCGCGCCGUAUUAGCUAGUUGGUAAGGUAACGGCUUACCAAGGCAACGAUACGUAGCCGACCUGAGAGGGUGAUCGGCCACACUGGAACUGAGACACGGUCCAGACUCCUACGGGAGGCAGCAGUAGGGAAUCUUCCGCAAUGGGCGAAAGCCUGACGGAGCAACGCCGCGUGAGUGAUGAAGGGUUUCGGCUCGUAAAACUCUGUUAUUAGGGAAGAACAAACGUGUAAGUAACUGUGCACGUCUUGACGGUACCUAAUCAGAAAGCCACGGCUAACUACGUG
This 497-nucleotide ribosomal RNA is filed under the name uncultured bacterium. RNAcentral describes it as "partial 16S ribosomal RNA". It matches the Rfam family "Bacterial small subunit ribosomal RNA", at positions 28 to 507 of the family's 1533-position model. The record is from RNAcentral.